RNAcentral lists this ribosomal RNA (2901 nucleotides) under Escherichia coli. RNAcentral's name for it is "bacterial LSU rRNA". It matches the Rfam family "Bacterial large subunit ribosomal RNA". Lineage: Bacteria; Pseudomonadati; Pseudomonadota; Gammaproteobacteria; Enterobacterales; Enterobacteriaceae. The record is from RNAcentral.
UUAAGCGACUAAGCGUACACGGUGGAUGCCCUGGCAGUCAGAGGCGAUGAAGGACGUGCUAAUCUGCGAUAAGCGUCGGUAAGGUGAUAUGAACCGUUAUAACCGGCGAUUUCCGAAUGGGGAAACCCAGUGUGUUUCGACACACUAUCAUUAACUGAAUCCAUAGGUUAAUGAGGCGAACCGGGGGAACUGAAACAUCUAAGUACCCCGAGGAAAAGAAAUCAACCGAGAUUCCCCCAGUAGCGGCGAGCGAACGGGGAGCAGCCCAGAGCCUGAAUCAGUGUGUGUGUUAGUGGAAGCGUCUGGAAAGGCGCGCGAUACAGGGUGACAGCCCCGUACACAAAAAUGCACAUAUUGUGAGCUCGAUGAGUAGGGCGGGACACGUGGUAUCCUGUCUGAAUAUGGGGGGACCAUCCUCCAAGGCUAAAUACUCCUGACUGACCGAUAGUGAACCAGUACCGUGAGGGAAAGGCGAAAAGAACCCCGGCGAGGGGAGUGAAAAAGAACCUGAAACCGUGUACGUACAAGCAGUGGGAGCCUCUUUUAUGGGGUGACUGCGUACCUUUUGUAUAAUGGGUCAGCGACUUAUAUUCUGUAGCAAGGUUAACCGAAUAGGGGAGCCGAAGGGAAACCGAGUCUUAACUGGGCGUUAAGUUGCAGGGUAUAGACCCGAAACCCGGUGAUCUAGCCAUGGGCAGGUUGAAGGUUGGGUAACACUAACUGGAGGACCGAACCGACUAAUGUUGAAAAAUUAGCGGAUGACUUGUGGCUGGGGGUGAAAGGCCAAUCAAACCGGGAGAUAGCUGGUUCUCCCCGAAAGCUAUUUAGGUAGCGCCUCGUGAAUUCAUCUCCGGGGGUAGAGCACUGUUUCGGCAAGGGGGUCAUCCCGACUUACCAACCCGAUGCAAACUGCGAAUACCGGAGAAUGUUAUCACGGGAGACACACGGCGGGUGCUAACGUCCGUCGUGAAGAGGGAAACAACCCAGACCGCCAGCUAAGGUCCCAAAGUCAUGGUUAAGUGGGAAACGAUGUGGGAAGGCCCAGACAGCCAGGAUGUUGGCUUAGAAGCAGCCAUCAUUUAAAGAAAGCGUAAUAGCUCACUGGUCGAGUCGGCCUGCGCGGAAGAUGUAACGGGGCUAAACCAUGCACCGAAGCUGCGGCAGCGACACUAUGUGUUGUUGGGUAGGGGAGCGUUCUGUAAGCCUGUGAAGGUGUACUGUGAGGUAUGCUGGAGGUAUCAGAAGUGCGAAUGCUGACAUAAGUAACGAUAAAGCGGGUGAAAAGCCCGCUCGCCGGAAGACCAAGGGUUCCUGUCCAACGUUAAUCGGGGCAGGGUGAGUCGACCCCUAAGGCGAGGCCGAAAGGCGUAGUCGAUGGGAAACAGGUUAAUAUUCCUGUACUUGGUGUUACUGCGAAGGGGGGACGGAGAAGGCUAUGUUGGCCGGGCGACGGUUGUCCCGGUUUAAGCGUGUAGGCUGGUUUUCCAGGCAAAUCCGGAAAAUCAAGGCUGAGGCGUGAUGACGAGGCACUACGGUGCUGAAGCAACAAAUGCCCUGCUUCCAGGAAAAGCCUCUAAGCAUCAGGUAACAUCAAAUCGUACCCCAAACCGACACAGGUGGUCAGGUAGAGAAUACCAAGGCGCUUGAGAGAACUCGGGUGAAGGAACUAGGCAAAAUGGUGCCGUAACUUCGGGAGAAGGCACGCUGAUAUGUAGGUGAAGUCCCUCGCGGAUGGAGCUGAAAUCAGUCGAAGAUACCAGCUGGCUGCAACUGUUUAUUAAAAACACAGCACUGUGCAAACACGAAAGUGGACGUAUACGGUGUGACGCCUGCCCGGUGCCGGAAGGUUAAUUGAUGGGGUUAGCGCAAGCGAAGCUCUUGAUCGAAGCCCCGGUAAACGGCGGCCGUAACUAUAACGGUCCUAAGGUAGCGAAAUUCCUUGUCGGGUAAGUUCCGACCUGCACGAAUGGCGUAAUGAUGGCCAGGCUGUCUCCACCCGAGACUCAGUGAAAUUGAACUCGCUGUGAAGAUGCAGUGUACCCGCGGCAAGACGGAAAGACCCCGUGAACCUUUACUAUAGCUUGACACUGAACAUUGAGCCUUGAUGUGUAGGAUAGGUGGGAGGCUUUGAAGUGUGGACGCCAGUCUGCAUGGAGCCGACCUUGAAAUACCACCCUUUAAUGUUUGAUGUUCUAACGUUGACCCGUGAUCCGGGUUGCGGACAGUGUCUGGUGGGUAGUUUGACUGGGGCGGUCUCCUCCUAAAGAGUAACGGAGGAGCACGAAGGUUGGCUAAUCCUGGUCGGACAUCAGGAGGUUAGUGCAAUGGCAUAAGCCAGCUUGACUGCGAGCGUGACGGCGCGAGCAGGUGCGAAAGCAGGUCAUAGUGAUCCGGUGGUUCUGAAUGGAAGGGCCAUCGCUCAACGGAUAAAAGGUACUCCGGGGAUAACAGGCUGAUACCGCCCAAGAGUUCAUAUCGACGGCGGUGUUUGGCACCUCGAUGUCGGCUCAUCACAUCCUGGGGCUGAAGUAGGUCCCAAGGGUAUGGCUGUUCGCCAUUUAAAGUGGUACGCGAGCUGGGUUUAGAACGUCGUGAGACAGUUCGGUCCCUAUCUGCCGUGGGCGCUGGAGAAUUGAGGGGGGCUGCUCCUAGUACGAGAGGACCGGAGUGGACGCAUCACUGGUGUUCGGGUUGUCAUGCCAAUGGCACUGCCCGGUAGCUAAAUGCGGAAGAGAUAAGUGCUGAAAGCAUCUAAGCACGAAACUUGCCCCGAGAUGAGUUCUCCCUGACCCUUUAAGGGUCCUGAAGGAACGUUGAAGACGACGACGUUGAUAGGCCGGGUGUGUAAGCGCAGCGAUGCGUUGAGCUAACCGGUACUAAUGAACCGUGAGGCUUAACCUU